RNAcentral lists this ribosomal RNA (301 nucleotides) under uncultured bacterium. RNAcentral describes it as "partial 16S ribosomal RNA". It matches the Rfam family "Bacterial small subunit ribosomal RNA", at positions 509 to 807 of the family's 1533-position model. The record is from RNAcentral.
CAGUCGCCGCGGUAAUACGUAGGGUGCGAGCGUUAAUCGGAAUUACUGGGCGUAAAGCGUGCGCAGGCGGUUGUGUAAGACAGGUGUGAAAUCCCCGGGCUUAACCUGGGAACUGCGCUUGUGACUGCACAGCUAGAGUAUGGCAGAGGGGGGUGGAAUUCCACGUGUAGCAGUGAAAUGCGUAGAGAUGUGGAGGAACACCGAUGGCGAAGGCAGCCCCCUGGGCCAAUACUGACGCUCAUGCACGAAAGCGUGGGGAGCAAACAGGAUUAGAUACCCGGGUAGUCCCUGUCUCUUAUAC